GACGAACGCUGGCGGCGUGCUUAACACAUGCAAGUCGAACGGUGAACGAGGGAGCUUGCUCCCUCCGGAUCAGUGGCGAACGGGUGAGUAACACGUGAGCAAUCUGCCCCGAACUCUGGGAUAAGCGUUGGAAACGACGUCUAAUACCGGAUACGACGCGGGAGGGCAUCCUCUCCGCGUGGAAAGAACUUCGGUUCGGGAUGAGCUCGCGGCCUAUCAGCUUGUUGGUGAGGUAACGGCUCACCAAGGCGACGACGGGUAGCCGGCCUGAGAGGGUGACCGGCCACACUGGGACUGAGACACGGCCCAGACUCCUACGGGAGGCAGCAGUGGAGAAUAUUGCACAAUGGGCGCAAGCCUGAUGCAGCAACGCCGCGUGAGGGACGACGGCCUUCGGGUUGUAAACCUCUUUUAGCAGGGAAGAAGCGAAAGUGACGGUACCUGCAGAAAAAGCACCGGCUAACUACGUG
This 470-nucleotide ribosomal RNA is filed under the name uncultured bacterium. RNAcentral describes it as "partial 16S ribosomal RNA". It matches the Rfam family "Bacterial small subunit ribosomal RNA", at positions 28 to 507 of the family's 1533-position model. The record is from RNAcentral.